UCAUCGAGUCUUUGACGCACAUUGCGCCCAUUGGUAUUCCUUUGGGCAUGUCUGUUUGAGCGUCAUUACAACCCUCGGCUUCCGCCGGUUUUGAAUCAGAACGGGGUCACACCCGCGCUGGUUUUAAAGUUGUAAGCUCUGCCGGCCACCCUGCCCAACCAGAACAUAGUAAGCACUACUUGUUGAGGUGAAGCUAAAGUGGUUCGGCCUGAAAAACCUACUUUCUCUAAGGUUUGACCUCAGAUCAGACAAGGAUACCCGCUGAACUUAAGCAUAUCAAUAAGCGGAGGAGAAGAAACCAACAGGGAUUGCCUCAGUAACGGCGAGUGAAGCGGCAACAGCUCAAAUUUGAAAUCUGGAGUCUUUGGCUUCCGAGUUGUAAUUUGAAGAGGAUGUUUCGGUGCGACCUGGGCCUAAGUUCCUUGGAACAGGACGUCAUGGAGGGUGAGAAUCCCGUACAUGGCUGCAGGUUUGCUUCUAUGUGAAACUCCUUCGAAGAGUCGAGUUGUUUGGGAAUGCAGCUCAAAAUGGGUGGUAAAUUUCAUCUAAAGCUAAAUAUUGGCGGGAGACCGAUAGCGCACAAGUAGAGUGAUCGAAAGAUGAAAAGCACUUUGAAAAGAGAGUUAAACAGUACGUGAAAUUGUUGAAAGGGAAGCGCUUGCAAUCAGACUCGCUUUCGGUUGAUCAACCUUCCUUCUGGUUGGUGCACUCUGCCGUUGGCGGGCCAGCAUCAGUUGGGGCGGUGGGACAAAGGCAGCAGGAAUGUGGCUCGCUUCGGUGAGUGUUAUAGCCUGCUGUGCCAUGCCACCU
This 810-nucleotide ribosomal RNA is filed under the name uncultured Orbiliaceae. RNAcentral's name for it is "eukaryotic LSU rRNA". The stretch from base 235 to 810 matches the Rfam family "Eukaryotic large subunit ribosomal RNA", at positions 1 to 581 of the family's 3401-position model. Lineage: Eukaryota; Fungi; Ascomycota; Orbiliomycetes; Orbiliales. The record is from RNAcentral.